Molecule: transfer RNA, 72 nt
Filed under: Capra hircus (goat)
Lineage: Eukaryota; Metazoa; Chordata; Mammalia; Artiodactyla; Bovidae
Also listed under: 1 other name
Rfam family: tRNA
About the family: Transfer RNA (tRNA) molecules are approximately 80 nucleotides in length. Their secondary structure includes four short double-helical elements and three loops (D, anti-codon, and T loops).
Source: Rfam by way of RNAcentral
UCUCUGGUUGUCCAGUGGUUAGGACUCUGUGCUUUCACUUUCGGGGCCCAGGUUCGAAUCCUGGUUGGGGAA